Molecule: ribosomal RNA, 2274 nt
Filed under: Campylobacter coli
Lineage: Bacteria; Pseudomonadati; Campylobacterota; Epsilonproteobacteria; Campylobacterales; Campylobacteraceae
Description: partial 23S ribosomal RNA
Rfam family: Bacterial large subunit ribosomal RNA
Source: RNAcentral
GAUGACUUGUGGAUAGGGGUGAAAGGCCAAUCAAACUUCGUGAUAGCUGGUUCUCUCCGAAAUAUAUUUAGGUAUAGCGUUGUGUCGUAAUAUAAGGGGGUAGAGCACUGAAUGGGCUAGGGCAUACACCAAUGUACCAAACCCUAUCAAACUCCGAAUACCUUAUAUGUAAUCACAGCAGUCAGGCGGCGAGUGAUAAAAUCCGUCGUCAAGAGGGAAACAACCCAGACUACCAGCUAAGGUCCCUAAAUCUUACUUAAGUGGAAAACGAUGUGAAGUUACUUAAACAACCAGGAGGUUGGCUUAGAAGCAGCCAUCCUUUAAAGAAAGCGUAAUAGCUCACUGGUCUAGUGAUUUUGCGCGGAAAAUAUAACGGGGCUAAAGUAAGUACCGAAGCUGUAGACUUGCGCACAACUUAGAUUAUUUAAGUUUAGAAUAUGAGAAACUAAGUUAUAUGUUUAGUUAUAUUUUUACUGAUUUUUAUAGAGUAAAGAUAGAAAUAAAACUUAGUAAAAUCAGUAAAAAUAUUCUUAGACUAAAGUUAAGUAGUUUAAGUUGUGUGCAAGUGGUAGGAGAGCGUUCUAUUUGCGUCGAAGGUAUACCGGUAAGGAGUGCUGGAGCGAAUAGAAGUGAGCAUGCAGGCAUGAGUAGCGAUAAUUAAUGUGAGAAUCAUUAACGCCGUAAACCCAAGGUUUCCUACGCGAUGCUCGUCAUCGUAGGGUUAGUCGGGUCCUAAGUCGAGUCCGAAAGGGGUAGACGAUGGCAAAUUGGUUAAUAUUCCAAUACCAACAUUAGUGUGCGAUGGAAGGACGCUUAGGGCUAAGGGGGCUAGCGGAUGGAAGUGCUAGUCUAAGGUCGUAGGAGGUUAUACAGGCAAAUCCGUAUAACAAUACUCCGAGAACUGAAAGGCUUUUUGAAGUCUUCGGAUGGAUAGAAGAACCCCUGAUGCCAUCGAGCCAAGAAAAGUUUCUAAGUUUAGCUAAUGUUGCCCGUACCGUAAACCGACACAGGUGGGUGGGAUGAGUAUUCUAAGGCGCGUGGAAGAACUCUCUUUAAGGAACUCUGCAAAAUAGCACCGUAUCUUCGGUAUAAGGUGUGGUUCGCUUCGUAUUAGGAUUUACUCCGAAAGCGAAGAAACUUACAACAAAGAGUCCCUCCCGACUGUUUACCAAAAACACAGCACUCUGCUAACUCGUAAGAGGAUGUAUAGGGUGUGACGCCUGCCCGGUGCUCGAAGGUUAAUUGAUGGGGUUAGCAUUAGCGAAGCUCUUGAUCGAAGCCCGAGUAAACGGCGGCCGUAACUAUAACGGUCCUAAGGUAGCGAAAUUCCUUGUCGGUUAAAUACCGACCUGCAUGAAUGGCGUAACGAGAUGGGAGCUGUCUCAAAGAGGGAUCCAGUGAAAUUGUAGUGGAGGUGAAAAUUCCUCCUACCCGCGGCAAGACGGAAAGACCCCGUGGACCUUUACUACAGCUUGACACUGCUAUUUGGAUAAGAAUGUGCAGGAUAGGUGGGAGGCUUUGAGUAUAUGACGCCAGUUGUAUAUGAGCCAUUGUUGAGAUACCACUCUUUCUUAUUUGGGUAGCUAACCAGCUUGAGUUAUCCUCAAGUGGGACAAUGUCUGGUGGGUAGUUUGACUGGGGCGGUCGCCUCCCAAAUAAUAACGGAGGCUUACAAAGGUUGGCUCAGAACGGUUGGAAAUCGUUCGUAGAGUAUAAAGGUAUAAGCCAGCUUAACUGCAAGACAUACAAGUCAAGCAGAGACGAAAGUCGGUCUUAGUGAUCCGGUGGUUCUGUGUGGAAGGGCCAUCGCUCAAAGGAUAAAAGGUACCCCGGGGAUAACAGGCUGAUCUCCCCCAAGAGCUCACAUCGACGGGGAGGUUUGGCACCUCGAUGUCGGCUCAUCGCAUCCUGGGGCUGGAGCAGGUCCCAAGGGUAUGGCUGUUCGCCAUUUAAAGCGGUACGCGAGCUGGGUUCAGAACGUCGUGAGACAGUUCGGUCCCUAUCUGCCGUGGGCGUAAGAAGAUUGAAGAGAUUUGACCCUAGUACGAGAGGACCGGGUUGAACAAACCACUGGUGUAGCUGUUGUUCUGCCAAGAGCAUCGCAGCGUAGCUAAGUUUGGAAAGGAUAAACGCUGAAAGCAUCUAAGCGUGAAGCCAACUCUAAGAUGAAUCUUCUCUAAGCUCUCUAGAAGACUACUAGUUUGAUAGGCUGGGUGUGUAAUGGAUGAAAGUCCUUUAGCUGACCAGUACUAAUAGAGCGUUUGGCUUAUCUUU